This 397-nucleotide unclassified non-coding RNA is filed under the name Hevea brasiliensis (rubber tree). The record is from RNAcentral. Lineage: Eukaryota; Viridiplantae; Streptophyta; Magnoliopsida; Malpighiales; Euphorbiaceae.
UUCACUUUCUCUCUCUCUCUCUUGCGGCUAGGGUUUUUAUCUCUCUCUCUCUUCUUCUCUUUUCUCUCUCAAACCUUAAUCCUAUUCCCUCUUGUUGACAGAUCUGUAUAGUUUUACCAUGGAGGACUUGUUAACUUAGGGUUUCCUGGUCGCCUUUCGAAGUAGAAUCCUUGAGUGGGUGGGGGAUUUUGCUGUUCACUGCUGAUUUUAUCGGAAAUGGCGACCAUGAACCCUUUCGAUUUGUUGGGUGACGAUGAUGCCGAGGACCCGUCGCAGCUGAUGGCAGCUAUGCUGAAGGUCGCUCCUGCCGCCGCCGCUGCCCCUAAGAAAUCUCAUUCUCAACCUCCAGCUAAGCAGCCGGCUCAGUCUCAGUCUCAGUCUCAGUCUCAGUCUCAGU